GUGGUGCGUCUGUGACCAUAUGGAGGCCUUGGCGCGCUCUCCGAGGCUGUCCCUCACCUGACCCUUGCUCUUAAGUCUGGCACAGAGUCGAUGGGCUUCGCGGUGAGGCCGUGGCUUCCCCUCCCAGAGCUUCCCUGCCAGGCCAUGCUGGGGUUAGGAGGCGACCCGGUGAUAAACCAAGCAGGGCAGGCGUGACGGGGCACAGGCUUUUGAGGGAUGUACCGUUUGCUGUGCGUGCACAGCCCCGGCUUCCAAGCGCCACCUCCCGGGAUGGGCCUCUGUUCUGCGGAGGCCACGGGGACCCUCCCGUGCGACUGUCCACUCCUCAGGCUCCCUGCCCCGACGGUCUCCCCACGGCUUCUGCGCCCCCUGCCCCGUUGGCUCAGUGCGGCCGCUGCCGUGGGGCGCUGCGCGGGGAGGCUGGGCCCUCCGGCUGCGGUUUCCAAUUCAGGCUGGCUUCCCCCAGGGCUUCUGUGAUCCUGCUGCACCGUCCCUAGAAGGCUCUUCUACAUUUAGUCCCUUGGCUUUUCACCCUGCACCUGACCGUCUUUUCUAUUUCCCUGGGAAAGUCAGGAUUAUCCAGGAAUGAGUCCCACAUCUUCCUCCUUCUGGCUCACGGGGUGAGGGGCUUUCCCCUCACGUCUAUCAGCGGACACACGUCCACCUUUGCUAAGCUGGACCCUUCCACCUGGCCUUUGUGCAGCACAGCCCUGGGGCUUGUGCCUGGUGUCUUGACCCUGCGGGCUCCCCACCUUGAGCGCACCCCUGUUCCUAGACGGCCUGGGACAUUUAAAACACAAGCAAAAAAAAAAAAAAAAACCCUAAAAAAUAAAUAAAUAAAUAAAUAAUAAAUAAAUAAAUAAAUAAAUAAAUAAAAAACCAUAAGCGGAAAAACUUUGUGGGCCCAAACUCAUUUUUUUUUGGAAAAAUUCUGAAGUUAUGUAUCUGGAUAAUAUUUCAUGUUUGAACGCAUGUCUUCAUUCCUUUCCUUGAGAUUUUAUUUUUCGUUCUUACCCACGCACACAAGGUGCCCGUGCAUUCCCGUGUGCCCCGGGGAAGAAUGUUGCAGAACGGGGAGACAGGAACCCCAGGUUGCGUCGCCGAAGGUUCAGUGAUGGCAGACGGUGUAGGACGUGGCAGGUUAGACUGGAAGAUCUUCGCAAGCCAGAGCAAGAUGCACCCCUGAGACUAUUUUGGGAAAGCGAAGGAAGCAGGCCGGAGGCUGCAGGCGAAUGCGGUCCCGCAGAGAAGGGUGCAGGGGGCCGUGGGCUCCCCGAGGCGAGCACCGUGCAGACACCGGUGCGGGCUCGGGGGGUCCUGGGCCGGGACAGGCCGACCACAGAGUUCGGCGGCCGAAGCAAAACUGAAGUUGACUUGUGUCAGAAGAUCGACAUCCCCAGAUCGAAGCUAGAGGUGAACCAGAGCAGUCGUAGGAAAACAACAACAACAACAAAGAGACUAUCCUUUUCUUUGCAAUUUGGAUAUGCUGCAAACACGAUGAGCAGCUUUCUGACUGGGAUCGGAAAGGAGGUGGAAGAUCCUUGUUACCAUCAUAACAGUAAGAAUUAGACAUUAUAAAAGGGGUAUUUAUCUAGGAAGCUAUUGAAGAGAUGUGGAAGCAAGAAAACGCCCAACGGACUGAUCUUCAGAGAGAGGUCACCUUACCCGUGAGGAAGGAAGCAACACUGGAGAAGAAAGCUUGGCAGCGUUCAGAGAGACGAGGAAGCGAUGUCGGGGGCGGGCUGGGGUGCUGGGGUCUCGAGACUCUCAAAUGCAGCAAUAAUUUACUUGACCUAAAAAUUCUCCCUAGCUUCCCAGUCUCCUUGUGCUGAGAAAAGGGGAAGUGCGGGUGGGACCGUCAAAUAGAAGAGUCUAGUCUCACGUCUUCUUGUGAUUUUACCCUGUCUCAAAAGAUGAAACGUGUCUAACUCCCGCCAGGCUCCAGGAUUGAAUAUUGAUGAGACCAAAGAAAUCAGACUUGGCGAGAAGCACUGUAGCUCUGGGAGGACAGGACGGUUGAAAGGCAAGGUCAAUUUUAAACACUUGCCUAGGCUAACGUUCAUGUUAUACUUAAGACAAUCGGAGCAGUCACCUCCUCACUUCAGCAGCCCUGCACUGGAAAGAGAUUGCAUGUUCUUAGAAAUAAAAACAAAGCAAAAGAGCUG
Molecule: long non-coding RNA, 2165 nt
Filed under: Canis lupus familiaris (dog)
Lineage: Eukaryota; Metazoa; Chordata; Mammalia; Carnivora; Canidae
Description: lncRNA (ENSCAFG00845018134.1)
Source: RNAcentral